This 439-nucleotide ribosomal RNA is filed under the name uncultured bacterium. Its description in RNAcentral is "partial 16S ribosomal RNA". It matches the Rfam family "Bacterial small subunit ribosomal RNA", at positions 339 to 795 of the family's 1533-position model. The record is from RNAcentral.
CUACGGGGGGCUGCAGUAGGGAAUCUUAGACAAUGGGGGAAACCCUGAUCUAGCCAUGCCGCGUGAGUGAUGAAGGCCUUAGGGUUGUAAAGCUCUUUCGCUGGGGAAGAUAAUGACGGUACCCAGUAAAGAAACCCCGGCUAACUCCGUGCCAGCAGCCGCGGUAAUACGGAGGGGGUUAGCGUUGUUCGGAAUUACUGGGCGUAAAGCGCGCGUAGGCGGGCUAUUAAGUCAGGGGUGAAAUCCCGGGGCUCAACCCCGGAACUGCCUUUGAUAUUGGUAGUCUUGAGUUCGAGAGAGGUGAGUGGAAUUCCGAGUGUAGAGGUGAAAUUCGUAGAUAUUCGGAGGAACAUCAGUGGCGAAGGCGACUCACUGGCUCGAUACUGACGCUGAGGUGCGAAAGUGUGGGGAACAAACAGGAUUAGAUACCCCAGUAGUC